RNAcentral lists this ribosomal RNA (418 nucleotides) under uncultured bacterium. RNAcentral describes it as "bacterial SSU rRNA". It matches the Rfam family "Bacterial small subunit ribosomal RNA", at positions 359 to 776 of the family's 1533-position model. The record is from RNAcentral.
GAAUCAUUGUCAAUGGGCGCAAGCCUGAACGUGCGACGCCGCGUGUGGGAUGAAGGCCUUCGGGUUGUAAACCACUGUCAGGGGCUAACAAUAAGCGUUUAACUCACGGGAUGAGUUAAACCCCCGCGGAAGUGACAGCCAACUACGUGCCAUCCGCUGCGGUAAUACGUAGGUCGCGAACGUUAUUCGGAUUUACUGGGCUUAAAGGGCGUGUAGGCGGCUUCGUAAGUCAAGGUUGAAAUCCGGCGGCUCACCCGUCGAACUGGUCUUGAUACUGCGGAGCUUGAGUCAUGGAGGGGUGCGCGGAACUUGUGGUGGAGCGGUGAAAUGCUCAGAUAUCACAGGGAACACCGGAGGCGAAGGCGGCGCACUGGCCAUGUACUGACGCUGUAGCGCGAAAGCCAGGGGAGCGAACGGG